AUAAGUAACCAUAGUGGAGACGAAGCAGCCCUUUAUCAUAUUGUUUCCAAGCAAAAGCACAUUCCAAGUUUCAAGUGGGAAUCGUGGAAACACAGCUAGACCACCGCGGUGCCAGCAGGAAGCUGUCCAUUCCAGAAUAAUUGAUUAUAUGAAAUUCAAAUGGCUUAAGAGAAACAUUUCAGUUGAAGCCCAAGACAAAACCUGAAAGAAAAAAGACUAGAAGAAGCUUCAAAAUGUCAAGUACUCUCUUAUUCUAUCUCCACAGAAGCUAAAACGUCUGAUGGACUAAAGCAUGAAGUUAAGGAAAAGAAUCACAUAAAAGAAUCACAACUAAGAAAAUACAAAUAAUGAAAAUGUUAAGGGAGAAAGAUUAUAAGAAUCAGGUCAUGCCAAAAGCAGUAUUUCAUUAAGAGGAAGAAAUACAGUUUGAGCAUAAAUCGGUUGUUUGACCAUCCCAAUUUAAUGAACAAGAGUGAAUCACAUGCAUAUAUUGAAAAAGAUUUGCAGUCUUGAUGAUUUUGACUACAAAAUGCGGACAUCAACAAGGACAACAGACUCACAAUAGCCCAUUACCACAAGGAAAUUGAGUAAACAAUGUGGGGAAAAAAUAUAGCCAAAAAAAUGUUUUCUUAAAAUAAAUGUAUUAUAGCAAUGUGUUUAA
Hipposideros armiger (great roundleaf bat) is the source of this 661-nucleotide long non-coding RNA. RefSeq lists it as uncharacterized. NCBI's taxonomy places the organism in Eukaryota, Metazoa, Chordata, Mammalia, Chiroptera, Hipposideridae. The record is from RefSeq and is a predicted model, not a curated record. The transcript has 2 exons.